This 819-nucleotide ribosomal RNA is filed under the name Bacillus sonorensis. RNAcentral's name for it is "bacterial SSU rRNA". It matches the Rfam family "Bacterial small subunit ribosomal RNA", at positions 68 to 868 of the family's 1533-position model. Lineage: Bacteria; Bacillati; Bacillota; Bacilli; Caryophanales; Bacillaceae. The record is from RNAcentral.
GACAGAUGGGAGCUUGCUCCCUGAUGUUAGCGGCGGACGGGUGAGUAACACGUGGGUAACCUGCCUGUAAGACUGGGAUAACUCCGGGAAACCGGGGCUAAUACCGGAUGCUUGAUUGAACCGCAUGGUUCAAUUAUAAAAGGUGGCUUUUAGCUACCACUUACAGAUGGACCCGCGGCGCAUUAGCUAGUUGGUGAGGUAACGGCUCACCAAGGCAACGAUGCGUAGCCGACCUGAGAGGGUGAUCGGCCACACUGGGACUGAGACACGGCCCAGACUCCUACGGGAGGCAGCAGUAGGGAAUCUUCCGCAAUGGACGAAAGUCUGACGGAGCAACGCCGCGUGAGUGAUGAAGGUUUUCGGAUCGUAAAACUCUGUUGUUAGGGAAGAACAAGUACCGUUCGAAUAGGGCGGUACCUUGACGGUACCUAACCAGAAAGCCACGGCUAACUACGUGCCAGCAGCCGCGGUAAUACGUAGGUGGCAAGCGUUGUCCGGAAUUAUUGGGCGUAAAGCGCGCGCAGGCGGUUUCUUAAGUCUGAUGUGAAAGCCCCCGGCUCAACCGGGGAGGGUCAUUGGAAACUGGGGAACUUGAGUGCAGAAGAGGAGAGUGGAAUUCCACGUGUAGCGGUGAAAUGCGUAGAGAUGUGGAGGAACACCAGUGGCGAAGGCGACUCUCUGGUCUGUAACUGACGCUGAGGCGCGAAAGCGUGGGGAGCGAACAGGAUUAGAUACCCUGGUAGUCCACGCCGUAAACGAUGAGUGCUAAGUGUUAGAGGGUUUCCGCCCUUUAGUGCUGCAGCAAACGCAUUAAGCACU